GCUGGGUGUGGUGGCGCACGCCUGUAAUCCCAGAGGCUCAGGAGGCUGAGGCAGGAGGAUCUCAAGUUCAAAGGUAGCCUCAGCAAAAGUGAGGCCCUAAGCAACUCAGUAAGACCCUGGCUCUA
This 125-nucleotide small RNA is filed under the name Marmota monax (woodchuck). Lineage: Eukaryota; Metazoa; Chordata; Mammalia; Rodentia; Sciuridae. The record is from RNAcentral.